RNAcentral lists this ribosomal RNA (661 nucleotides) under Pseudonocardia sp. Its description in RNAcentral is "bacterial SSU rRNA". It matches the Rfam family "Bacterial small subunit ribosomal RNA", at positions 86 to 760 of the family's 1533-position model. The record is from RNAcentral. Lineage: Bacteria; Bacillati; Actinomycetota; Actinomycetes; Pseudonocardiales; Pseudonocardiaceae.
GGUACACGAGCGGCGAACGGGUGAGUAACACGUGGGUGACCUGCCCUCCACUCUGGGAUAAGCCCGGGAAACUGGGUCUAAUACCGGAUAGGACCACUGAUCGCAUGGUUGGUGGUGGAAAGUUUUUUCGGUGGGGGAUGGGCCCGCGGCCUAUCAGCUUGUUGGUGGGGUGAUGGCCUACCAAGGCGGUGACGGGUAGCCGGCCUGAGAGGGCGACCGGCCACACUGGGACUGAGACACGGCCCAGACUCCUACGGGAGGCAGCAGUGGGGAAUAUUGCGCAAUGGGCGGAAGCCUGACGCAGCGACGCCGCGUGGGGGAUGACGGCCUUCGGGUUGUAAACCUCUUUCGCCAGGGACGAAGAGCAAUUGACGGUACCUGGAGAAGAAGCACCGGCCAACUACGUGCCAGCAGCCGCGGUAACACGUAGGGUGCGAGCGUUGUCCGGAAUUAUUGGGCGUAAAGAGCUCGUAGGCGGUGUGUCGCGUCGGCCGUGAAAACUUGGGGCUUAACUCUGAGCGUGCGGUCGAUACGGGCAUCACUUGAGUUCGGCAGGGGAGACUGGAAUUCCUGGUGUAGCGGUGAAAUGCGCAGAUAUCAGGAGGAACACCGGUGGCGAAGGCGGGUCUCUGGGCCGAUACUGACGCUGAGGAGCGAAAGC